UACGGAGGAUGCGAGCGUUAUCCGGAGUUAUUGGGUUUAAAGGGUGCGUAGGCGGACGCUUAAGUCAGCGGUAAAAUUGCGGGGCUCAACCUCGUCGAGCCGUUGAAACUGGGUGUCUUGAGUGGGCGAGAAGUACGCGGAAUGCGUGGUGUAGCGGUGAAAUGCAUAGAUAUCACGCAGAACUCCGAUUGCGAAGGCAGCGUACCGGCGCCCAACUGACGCUGAAGCACGAAGGCGUGGGUAACGAAUAGG
Molecule: ribosomal RNA, 252 nt
Filed under: uncultured bacterium
Lineage: Bacteria
Description: partial 16S ribosomal RNA
Rfam family: Bacterial small subunit ribosomal RNA
Source: RNAcentral